Molecule: ribosomal RNA, 1505 nt
Filed under: Enterococcus faecium
Lineage: Bacteria; Bacillati; Bacillota; Bacilli; Lactobacillales; Enterococcaceae
Description: bacterial SSU rRNA
Rfam family: Bacterial small subunit ribosomal RNA (bases 181-1505)
Source: RNAcentral
CCGGGCGCUCGGAGUCCUCGCAACCACAAUUCCUAUCUCCUUAUCCGCGUCUCCGUCUUCUUUCCAACAGAAUGGGGUUUGGUAACUCAAACUUGUAACUCUCGUCUUCAUUCGGGUUCAACGCCAAAUCAAAGGGGCGGUACUGUGUAUCUCCUUAACUAACCUUCCCCUUCUUAACGGGGAGUGGUCGGGUCGCCUGGCCUGUGGAGAACGCCCAGGCGGAGUUACUUGGUUGCUUGGCUUAGUUCGUCACAACCGGCCUAACCAAGCUCAACUCCUAAGGUGGACCGGCGGCUUAAUGGGCCAAAUGGGGACCGGACACUGCCCCCAACUCGCACGGCAUGGCAGCAGUCGGUAAUCUUCGGCAAUGGACGAAAGUCUGACCGAGCAACGCCGCGUGAGUGAAGAAGGUUUUCGGAUCGUAAAACUUCUUUUUUAGAACAGAACAAGGAUGAGAGUAAUUGUUCAUCCCUUGACUGUAUCUAACCAGAAAGCCACGGCUAACUACGUGCCAGCAGCCGCGGUAAUACGUAGGUGGCAAGCGUUGUCCGGAUUUAUUGGGAGUAAAGCGAGCGCAGGCGGUUUCUUAAGUCUGAUGUGAAAGCCCCCGGCUCAACCGGGGAGGGUCAUUGGAAACUGGGAGACUUGAGUGCAGAAGAGGAGAGUGGAAUUCCAUGUGUAGCGGUGAAAUGCGUAGAUAUAUGGAGGAACACCAGUGGCGAAGGCGGCUCUUUGGUCUGUAACUGACGCUGAGGCUCGAAAGCGUGGGGAGCAAACAGGAUUAGAUACCCUGGUAGUCCACGCCGUAAACGAUGAGUGCUAAGUGUUGGAGGGUUUCCGCCCUUCAGUGCUGCAGCUAACGCAUUAAGCACUCCGCCUGGGGAGUACGACCGCAAGGUUGAAACUCAAAGGAAUUGACGGGGGCCCGCACAAGCGGUGGAGCAUGUGGUUUAAUUCGAAGCAACGCGAAGAACCUUACCAGGUCUUGACAUCCUUUGACCACUCUAGAGAUAGAGCUUCCCCUUCGGGGGCAAAGUGACAGGUGGUGCAUGGUUGUCGUCAGCUCGUGUCGUGAGAUGUUGGGUUAAGUCCCGCAACGAGCGCAACCCUUAUUGUUAGUUGCCAUCAUUCAGUUGGGCACUCUAGCAAGACUGCCGGUGACAAACCGGAGGAAGGUGGGGAUGACGUCAAAUCAUCAUGCCCCUUAUGACCUGGGCUACACACGUGCUACAAUGGGAAGUACAACGAGUUGCGAAGUCGCGAGGCUAAGCUAAUCUCUUAAAGCUUCUCUCAGUUCGGAUUGCAGGCUGCAACUCGCCUGCAUGAAGCCGGAAUCGCUAGUAAUCGCGGAUCAGCACGCCGCGGUGAAUACGUUCCCGGGCCUUGUACACACCGCCCGUCACACCACGAGAGUUUGUAACACCCGAAGUCGGUGAGGUAACCUUUUUGGAGCCAGCCGCCUAAGGUGGGAUAGAUGAUUGGGGUGAAGUCGUAACACUAGCCCG